UGGUAGCGUGCGCGUGCCAGUCGAGGGAACCCGGUGAGAGUCCGGGACUGACGCGCAGCGGUGUGGGUGACGGGCGGAGCAGGUCUCACGACAGCCACUGGACGAGGUCGUCCGGGAAGGCGCUCCUCCCCGGUGGAACCCGAGUCCGAAGACCUGCUGGCCUCCGCGGCAACAG
RNAcentral lists this non-coding RNA (175 nucleotides) under Marmoricola sp. Leaf446. RNAcentral also lists the same sequence under 1 other name. Lineage: Bacteria; Bacillati; Actinomycetota; Actinomycetes; Propionibacteriales; Nocardioidaceae. The record is from RNAcentral.